This 398-nucleotide ribosomal RNA is filed under the name uncultured bacterium. RNAcentral's name for it is "partial 16S ribosomal RNA". It matches the Rfam family "Bacterial small subunit ribosomal RNA", at positions 361 to 776 of the family's 1533-position model. The record is from RNAcentral.
AUAUUGGACAAUGGGUGAAACCCUGAUCCAGCGACGCCGCGUGAGUGAAGAAGUANUUNNGUAUGNANAGCUAUAUCAGCAGGNNNNNAAAUGACGGUACCUGACUAAGAAGCACCGGCUAACUACGUGCCAGCAGCCGCGGUAAUACGUAGGGGGCAAGCGUUAUCCGGAUUUACUGGGUGUAAAGGGAGCGUAGACGGCGCUGCAAGUCGGGAGUGAAAGCCCGGGGCUCAACCCCGGGACUGCUUUGGAAACUGUGGCGCUAGAGUGCAGGAGAGGUAAGUGGAAUUCCUAGUGUAGCGGUGAAAUGCGUAGAUAUUAGGAGGAACACCAGUGGCGAAGGCGGCUUACUGGACUGUAACUGACGUUGAGGCUCGAAAGCGUGGGGAGCAAACAGG